This 497-nucleotide ribosomal RNA is filed under the name uncultured bacterium. RNAcentral's name for it is "partial 16S ribosomal RNA". It matches the Rfam family "Bacterial small subunit ribosomal RNA", at positions 28 to 507 of the family's 1533-position model. The record is from RNAcentral.
GAUGAACGCUGGCGGCGUGCCUAAUACAUGCAAGUCGAGCGAACGGACGAGAAGCUUGCUUCUCUGAUGUUAGCGGCGGACGGGUGAGUAACACGUGGAUAACCUACCUAUAAGACUGGGAUAACUUCGGGAAACCGUAGCUAAUACCGGAGAAUAUUUUGAACCGCAUGGUUCAAAAGUGAAAGUCGGUCUUGCUGUCACUUAUAGAUGGUUCCGCGCUGCAUUAGCUAGUUGGUAGGGUCACGGCUUACCAAGGCAACGAUGCGUAGCCGACCUGAGAGGGUGGUCGCCCACACUGGAACUGGGACACGGUCCAGACGCCUGCGGGAGGCAGCAGUAGGGAAUCUUCCGCAGUGGGCGAGAGCCUGACGGAGCAACGCCGCGUGAGUGAUGAAGAUCUUCGGAUCGUAAAACUCUGUUAUUAGGGAAAAACAGAUGUGUAAGUAGCUGUGCACAGCUUGACGGUACCUAAUCAGAAAGCCACGGCUAACUACGUG